CAAUAGCGUAUAUUAAAGUUGUUGCGGUAAAAAAGCUCGUAGUUGGAUUUCUGUUGAGAGCGACCGGUCCAUACCAUGUAUGCGUAUCUGGCUUGCUCUCGGCAUCCUCUCGAUAGACGUUACUGCGCUUGAUUGCGUGGUGCGGAUCUCGGGACUUUUACUUUGAGGAAAUUAGAGUGUUCACGGCAGGCUUUCGCCAGAAUACAUUAGCAUGGAAUAAUACUAUAGGAUCUUGGUUCUAUUUUGUUGGUUUCUAGAAUUGAGAUGAUGAUUAAUAGGGACAAUUGGGGGCAUUCGUAUCAACACGUCAGAGGUGGAAUUCUUGGAUUGUGUUGCGACGAACUACUGCGAAAGCAUUUGCCAAGGAUGUUUUCAUUGA
RNAcentral lists this ribosomal RNA (379 nucleotides) under uncultured eukaryote. RNAcentral describes it as "partial 18S ribosomal RNA". It matches the Rfam family "Eukaryotic small subunit ribosomal RNA", at positions 592 to 976 of the family's 1831-position model. The record is from RNAcentral.